Molecule: RNA transcript, 1747 nt
Organism: Lates calcarifer (barramundi perch)
Lineage: Eukaryota; Metazoa; Chordata; Actinopteri; Centropomidae
Exons: 6
Source: RefSeq, a predicted model, not a curated record
UAAAACACUCAUUACACAAAUUUUAAAACAAUCUAACUGAAGGUCCAUUUAUUAUACGCUGAAAAAAGGUAUAAAUAUGCAAUUCAGGUAUGAUCACAGGGCUAUUGCACAUUGUCUGAGUUUUAGCCAAUCACCUUAACUUUUGCUUUGCAAACCUCAGAUCAUCUCAGUCAUGAGACAAGACAUCAGUUGUGCAAGAGAGGGACGUUGUACCACAAUGUUCGGACAACUAGCUGCUUUGAUUCUUCUUAGUGGAGCAUCUCUGAUUCAAACUGCAGAGGUUUCUCAGCAGAUCCCUCUGACUGUGGUUGAAGUUGGUGACAAUUUGAAUCUGAAAUGUCCAGUCUUUGGGGAUGAAACCAGGUUGUUUUACUGGUACAAGCAAAAUUUUGGAUAUAUGGUCCAAACAGUGGCUGCGGGGACUUUUGACAAAUUAACACUUGAAGGACAAUUUGACAACCCAAGAUUCAAAGUCACAAAAGUGGGUGAUCAUUAUUCUCUAAUCAUAAGGAAUGUAAGCAAAGAAGAUGAGGCAACAUACUUCUGUCAAACAGGAUCAGCAUAUAAAAUGAAAUUCACAAAAGGCACAAUAUUGGCUGUGAAUGAUCAUAAAAAUCGUCCAAUAUCGAUUUAUAUGAAGCAAAAACCGGAGACUGAGUCAGUCCAGCUGGGAGACCCAGUGACUCUCCAGUGUUCACUUCUCUCCAAGAGCAACGAAACCAGCGUCCAGUGUCCAGGUGAACACAGUGUGCACUGGUUCAGAGCUGGAAUAGAAGGAUCAGAUUUUGGCAUCGUUUACACUCACAGCAGCAGGAGUGAUGAACAAGAGGAAAGGAGCUGUGUCUACAGUUUGUCCAAAACUAUACAGGACUCCUCUGACACUGGGACUUACUACUGUGCUGUGGUCACAUGUGGACAAAUCCUGUUUGGUGAAGGAACUAAAGUGGAGACAGUUCUAUCAGUUAGGGCAACAUGGUACUCACCAGAGUAACUGCUGAGAUGUUGGGACGUAAUGAUGACGGUCACACAGGACAAGAAACAUGAGCGGUCAGACAAUCAUGCAGGUUGUAAACAACAUCCCCAGGACAAGAGGGACAAGAAUGGAGCCCAGUUGUCAUUGUGCUCGGUGUACUGUUGGCUCUGUGUGUGAUUGUUAUUUCCAUCCUUCUUUUCGCAAGAGAGUAAAGAGACUCACAGAGGAGCUGAUGCACACGCCUCCCAAAUCUUAUCCAUGUGUCACAUGGACCUGAAAGUGAAGACAGCCAAUCAGUUGAUCUAAUGCCUGUAGCGUGAGGGAUUCGUAACAGGAAUGAAAAAACACAGAAACAUUAUACUCAAAAUACAUACAGGUAUGGGAGAUACAACCAUGUGAGUUUCUCCGAAUGAGUGCUGUGCAUGUUGGCGUACAUACACGGGGCUGUUCAGAGAUAUCCACUUCUCCAGACAAACAUGUUCCAGCUUAACUUGUUGUUGGCUAAUGUUGCUUUGUUGUAAUAAGAAUGGAAGAUUGAGUUAAUCUUGUUUGAUAGGUUUCAUUUGCCUUUGCACUGAUCUCUGUCUUUAUUUUUUUAUUAUCAUCAUUAAAUAUCUAUGCAUACUGAUUUGACAAAAUUAGCUGUUACUACAAAUCAUUCUAUUUCACUUUACAGUGCUGUCAUCUUCAAAACUUUAUCCACCUUUUCAACAAAGUGGAUUGACACUUACUGCUAUUAUUAUAAUUAUAAAUGCUAUAAUAAAAGCUGCCAGA